This is a small nucleolar RNA of Bos indicus x Bos taurus (hybrid cattle), 131 nucleotides long. Ensembl annotates it as small nucleolar RNA, H/ACA box 10. NCBI's taxonomy places the organism in Eukaryota, Metazoa, Chordata, Mammalia, Artiodactyla, Bovidae. The record is from Ensembl.
CUUCUCUCAGCUCCGCUUAACCACAUUCUGUAUGUGGUUGGCGUAUUUUCAGAGAGAGAGAGAGAAAGGCCCUCCUAAUGCACGACAGACUGGCCCAUAGUGGCCUGUUUGUUCCUAGGAGUGCAACAGUC